AUCGGUGACAGGUGGUGCAUGGUUGUCGUCAGCUCGUGUCGUGAGAUGUUGGUUAAGUCCCGCAACGAGCGCAACCCCUAUUGUUAGUUGCCAUCAUUCAGUUGGGCACUCUAGCGAGACUGCCGGUAAUAAACCGGAGGAAGGUGGGGAUGACGUCAAAUCAUCAUGCCCCUUAUGACCUGGGCUACACACGUGCUACAAUGGUUGGUACAACGAGUUGCGAGUCGGUGACGGCGAGCUAAUCUCUUAAAGCCAAUCUCAGUUCGGAUUGUAGGCUGCAACUCGCCUACAUGAAGUCGGAAUCGCUAGUAAUCGCGGAUCAGCACGCCGCGGUCGAAUACGUUCCGGGCCUU
RNAcentral lists this ribosomal RNA (353 nucleotides) under uncultured Streptococcus sp. Its description in RNAcentral is "bacterial SSU rRNA". It matches the Rfam family "Bacterial small subunit ribosomal RNA", at positions 1027 to 1382 of the family's 1533-position model. The record is from RNAcentral. Lineage: Bacteria; Bacillati; Bacillota; Bacilli; Lactobacillales; Streptococcaceae.